Molecule: long non-coding RNA, 725 nt
Filed under: Lepisosteus oculatus (spotted gar)
Lineage: Eukaryota; Metazoa; Chordata; Actinopteri; Semionotiformes; Lepisosteidae
Description: lncRNA (ENSLOCG00000021646.1)
Source: RNAcentral
UGUGAACGCAGAACGGGCUCCUCCAGUGAGCUCAGGCAGUCGGGCUCACAGGCCUCUGAAUCCCCCAGCAACACCCCACGCUGCACUUCUGCAGGGCUGUGUCAAGCUGCAGUCCUGUCAGUGCAGUGAACUUCAUCCCCUGUAAGCAUGCGGGCAGAUCACACCAGGCCAGCCCGAACCUCACAAAGAACGUUCUGAUCUGUCCAUUCUCUCCUGCUGGAAUUUCAGCUUCAGCAAGCUCUGCAAUGUGCUACCCAGGAGAUGCGGAGCUGACGUUGCACGCCUGCAGAUUCCAGCCUUCCCUGUGUCCCUGUGUGAAAGUGGGAAGCAGCAGACCCAGCAGCAGGACCAAAGACAUCAAAAGGAGCAGACCUUCUGCACAGCAGUGGCAGGUUGUUUUGCUGGUGAAGAAAGCCUAGAGGAAGAUGCCCAGAAAAUCCACCCAGUCCCCCAGGAUUUACAGCACCUACAGUACGUGAUCCAUCAGAUUGCUGGGCUUCACAGGAGAGGUGACAUCUUUUUAUCUGCACCUGCAUGUGCUCACAGUGCCCCACGCCUCGUGCGGAUCGCUGCCCUAUGCUGACUCGAAGGCAGGCAAAAAACAUCUGAAACAAGCUGCGUUUGCACGGUAGCUGAACUACAGAAAAGGAGAAAAGUCUUAUCACUGGCAGACAAAUAACUUCUCUGACUCACCUAAUAAUCUUGCGCAAUAAAUCAAACACAAA